CUCACCGCCCGUCACAUCACUUGAAUCUGUUGCUCCCGAAGUCGCUGGCCGAACCCGCAAGGGGCGGAGGCGCCGAAGGAGUGGCCGGUGAGAGGGGUG
RNAcentral lists this ribosomal RNA (99 nucleotides) under uncultured bacterium. RNAcentral describes it as "partial 16S ribosomal RNA". It matches the Rfam family "Bacterial small subunit ribosomal RNA", at positions 1386 to 1482 of the family's 1533-position model. The record is from RNAcentral.